GUGCAGCAGUCGCGAAACCUCCGCAAUGCACGCAAGUGCGACGGGGGAACCCCAAGUGCCACUCUUAACGGGGUGGCUUUUCAGAAGUGUAAAAAGCUUCUGGAAUAAGGGCUGGGCAAGACCGGUGCCAGCCGCCGCGGUAACACCGGCAGCUCAAGUGGUAGCCGCUUUUAUUGGGCCUAAAGCGUCCGUAGCCGGUCUGAUAAGUCUCUGGUGAAAUCCCACGGCUUAACUGUGGGAAUUGCUGGAGAUACUAUCAUGACUCGAGGUCGGGAGAGGCUGGAGGUACUCCCAGGGUAGGGGUGAAAUCCUGUAAUCCUGGGAGGACCACCUGUGGCGAAGGCGUCCAGCUGGAACGAACCUGACGGUGAGGGACGAAAGCCAGGGGCGCGAACCGGAUUAGAUACCCGGGUAGUCC
RNAcentral lists this ribosomal RNA (418 nucleotides) under uncultured Methanothermobacter sp. RNAcentral describes it as "bacterial SSU rRNA". It matches the Rfam family "Archaeal small subunit ribosomal RNA", at positions 330 to 747 of the family's 1478-position model. The record is from RNAcentral. Lineage: Archaea; Methanobacteriati; Methanobacteriota; Methanobacteria; Methanobacteriales; Methanobacteriaceae.